This 69-nucleotide transfer RNA is filed under the name Amolops wuyiensis (Sanchiang sucker frog). RNAcentral's name for it is "tRNA-Phe". It matches the Rfam family "tRNA". Rfam says of the family: Transfer RNA (tRNA) molecules are approximately 80 nucleotides in length. Their secondary structure includes four short double-helical elements and three loops (D, anti-codon, and T loops). The record is from RNAcentral. Lineage: Eukaryota; Metazoa; Chordata; Amphibia; Anura; Ranidae.
ACUCCCAUAGCUUAACAUAAAGCAUAGCGCUGAAAACGCUAAGAUGAGCCCUAAAAAGUUCUGAGGGUA